RNAcentral lists this ribosomal RNA (512 nucleotides) under Pristionchus pacificus. RNAcentral's name for it is "partial large subunit ribosomal RNA". It matches the Rfam family "Eukaryotic large subunit ribosomal RNA", at positions 655 to 1146 of the family's 3401-position model. The record is from RNAcentral. Lineage: Eukaryota; Metazoa; Nematoda; Chromadorea; Rhabditida; Neodiplogasteridae.
UGAAACACGGACCAAGAAGUCUAGUAUGUACGCGAGUCAUUGGGUAUUAAACCUAUUGGCGCAAUAAAUGUGAAGGGCGGCUUGUUCGUCUGAUAUGUGAUCCGUCGGUCUCGGCCAGCGGCGCAACAUAGUCCCAUGCCUACUGCUUGCAGUGGUGUGGAGAUGGAGCGUACACACUAGGACCCGAAAGAUGGUGAACUAUGCCUGAGCAGGACGAAGUCAGAGGAAACUCUGAUGGAAGUCCGAAGCGGUUCUGACGUGCAAAUCGAUCGUCGGACUCGGGUAUAGGGGCGAAAGACUAAUCGAACCAUCUAGUAGCUGGUUCACACCGAAGUUUCCCCCAGGAUAGCUGGCACUUAUGUUUGUUGUAUCUUGUAAAGCUAAUGAUUAGAGGACUUGGGGACGAAAUGUUCUUAACCUAUUCUCAAACUUUCAAUGGGUAUGAUGUCGCGGUUGCUUAAGUGAACCGUGGCUGCGAAAGCGAGUGCCAAGUGGGCCAUUUUUGGUAAGCA